AUCCAACCUGCCCUUCACCACGGGAUAACCCGGCGAAAGUCGGACUAAUACCGUAUGUUGUCCAUUGACGGCAUCCGAUUUGGACGAAAGGCUUGGCGGUGAGGGAUGGGGAUGCGUCCGAUUAGCCAGACGGCGGGGUAACGGCCCACCGUGGCGACGAUCGGUAGGGGUUCUGAGAGGAAGGUCCCCCACACUGGAACUGAGACACGGUCCAGACUCCUACGGGAGGCAGCAGUGAGGAAUAUUGGUCAAUGGGCGUAAGCCUGAACCAGCCAAGUAGCGUGCAGGACGACGGCCCUAUGGGUUGUAAACUGCUUUUAUGCGGGGAUAAAGUGGCCCACGUGUGGGUUUUUGCAGGUACCGCAUGAAUAAGGACCGGCUAAUUCCGUGCCAGCAGCCGCGGUAAUACGGAAGGUCCGGGCGUUAUCCGGAUUUAUUGGGUUUAAAGGGAGCGUAGGCCGCGCCUUAAGCGUGUUGUGAAAUCCGGGUGCUCAACAUCCGGCUUGCAGCGCGAACUGGGGCGCUUGAGUGCGCAGAAAGUAGGCGGAAUUCGUGGUGUAGUGGUGAAAUGCUUAGAUAUCACGAGGAACUCCGAUUGCGAAGGCAGCCUACUGUAGCGCUACUGACGCUGAUGCUCGAAAGCGUGGGUAUCGAACAGGAUUAGAUACCCUGGUAGUCCACGCGGUAAACGAUGGAUGCUCGUUGUCGGCCCUUUGGGUCGGUGACCAAGCGAAAGCGUUAAGCAUCCCACCUGGGGAGUACGCCGGCAACGGUGAAACUCAAAGGAAUUGACGGG
This 796-nucleotide ribosomal RNA is filed under the name uncultured bacterium. RNAcentral's name for it is "bacterial SSU rRNA". It matches the Rfam family "Bacterial small subunit ribosomal RNA", at positions 119 to 917 of the family's 1533-position model. The record is from RNAcentral.